UGUGUGCAAGGUACCUGCUGAGUAACUAAC
RNAcentral lists this non-coding RNA (30 nucleotides) under Homo sapiens (human). The record is from RNAcentral. Lineage: Eukaryota; Metazoa; Chordata; Mammalia; Primates; Hominidae.